This is a long non-coding RNA of Sinocyclocheilus rhinocerous, 338 nucleotides long. RefSeq lists it as uncharacterized. NCBI's taxonomy places the organism in Eukaryota, Metazoa, Chordata, Actinopteri, Cypriniformes, Cyprinidae. The record is from RefSeq and is a predicted model, not a curated record. The transcript is spliced from 3 exons.
GAUGAGUGGGGAAGAGCCACCAGUAUGCCUAGCUUAAAGAGAAAGCUUAAAGAUGAACCCUUUCCUUGCCUCAAGGCAACAACUGUAAGAAAAGGGCCAGACAAAGCAGAAGCAGCUAAACUUCCAUUUCCACCCAAACUGCAACCAAGUAAUGUUUUUUACUUUCUUUUUACAAAUACCACAGCAAAUAAAGCACCAUAUGAAAAGGAAAUACAAUUUAGGGGUGUGUGAUAUACAAUUCUAAUUUUAUGGGAUUUUGUUGAUAAUAUUUUAGAGUUUGUUUUGUGCUAGUACGCUUUUGAUAUUCUUCAUAUUCUGUGCACAGUAAAAACAAUGGA